GCCUGGGUGGCUCAGUCGGUUGAGCGUCCGACUUCGGCUCAGGUCAUGAUCUCACAGUUCGUGGGUUCGAGCCCUGCAUCAGGCU
This 85-nucleotide transfer RNA is filed under the name Felis catus (domestic cat). It matches the Rfam family "tRNA". From Rfam's summary of the family: Transfer RNA (tRNA) molecules are approximately 80 nucleotides in length. Their secondary structure includes four short double-helical elements and three loops (D, anti-codon, and T loops). The record is from Rfam by way of RNAcentral. RNAcentral also lists the same sequence under 2 other names. Lineage: Eukaryota; Metazoa; Chordata; Mammalia; Carnivora; Felidae.